This is a long non-coding RNA of Arabidopsis lyrata subsp. lyrata, 431 nucleotides long. RefSeq lists it as uncharacterized. The transcript has 4 exons. Lineage: Eukaryota; Viridiplantae; Streptophyta; Magnoliopsida; Brassicales; Brassicaceae. The record is from RefSeq and is a predicted model, not a curated record.
AGACAAAGCCCAUUUUACUACCAGGUUUCAAGAGCUCAUGUAGAUAAUGAUGUCUUUCUGCAAGAAGCUGUGGCUAGAUACAAAGCAUUUCUCUACUUGAUCAAAGGUAACCGAGAAAGGUCGAUUAAACUUUUCUGUGUUCCGACUUACGAUAUUGAUCUUAUCUGGCACACACAUCAGCUUCAUGCUCACUCUUACUGCAAUGAUUUGACUAAGAUGAUUGGUAAGGUCUUGGAUUACAUUCUGGGAAACAUUACAUCUUUGCCUCCAAGAACUUUUGCAGCUAAAGGAUCUUAUCCAGACGUUUGAAAAAAAAGGAAUAGCAAAACUAAUUGAAGCUGGACAGUUUUUAUUUAGCAGAUGCCCUUGGCUGCUGUAGUGAUUAUGGCCCGCAGUCGUACAGACUAUCUUGAAAGGACAGUUAAAUCAGU